RNAcentral lists this ribosomal RNA (253 nucleotides) under uncultured bacterium. RNAcentral describes it as "partial 16S ribosomal RNA". It matches the Rfam family "Bacterial small subunit ribosomal RNA", at positions 524 to 776 of the family's 1533-position model. The record is from RNAcentral.
UACAGAGGGUGCAAGCGUUAAUCGGAAUUACUGGGCGUUAAGCGUGCGUAGUCGGUUAUUUAAGUCGGGCGUGAAAGCCCCGGGCUCAACCUGGGAAUUGCGUUCGAUACUGGAUAGCUAGAGUUCGGCAGAGGGAAGCGGAAUUUCUGGUGUAGCGGUGAAAUGCGUAGAUAUCAGAAGGAACAUCAGUGGCGAAAGCGGCUUCCUGGACCAGAACUGACGAUCAGGCACGAAAGCGUGGGGAGCAAACAGG